CCCUUAGAUGUCCGGGGCCGCACGCGCGCUACACUGAAGGAAUCAGCGUGGCUUUCUCCCUGACCCGAAAGGGUUGGGAAACCCGUUGAAUCUCCUUCGUGAUAGGGAUUGGGGCUUGAAAUUGUUCCCCAUGAACGAGGAAUUCCCAGUAAGCGCGAGUCAUAAGCUCGCGUUGAUUACGCCCCUGCCCUUUGUACACACCGCCCGUCGCUACUACCGAUUGAACGGUUUAGUGAGGGCCUCGGAUUGGUCUCGGCCCGCUCUUUACCGGGCGGCGCCGUUGGUCGAGAAGACGCUCGAACUUGAUCGUUUAGAGGAAGUAAAAGUCGUAACA
RNAcentral lists this ribosomal RNA (334 nucleotides) under uncultured eukaryote. RNAcentral describes it as "partial 18S ribosomal RNA". It matches the Rfam family "Eukaryotic small subunit ribosomal RNA", at positions 1470 to 1796 of the family's 1831-position model. The record is from RNAcentral.